Molecule: non-coding RNA, 1106 nt
Organism: Theobroma cacao (cacao)
Lineage: Eukaryota; Viridiplantae; Streptophyta; Magnoliopsida; Malvales; Malvaceae
Source: RefSeq, a predicted model, not a curated record
GAAACUAAACCAAGAAGAUAGAUUUCCAUCCUCUUUCCAUAACACUUCCUGGAAAGCCAAACAGCAGGGUCCUUAGCAGAGCAUCUCCAUGACUCCAUCCUUUUCUUUUUUUUUUCUUUGUUCUUUUCUUAUCUGUCUGAGAGAGAACUAGUCAAUGAUUAGGCAAAAGACAUUGGGGACCUUGUCUUCCACUAAGCAUUUGAGCAAGAAAAAAAUAGUAACAAUAAAAAGAAAAAGAGAUUCCAAAGAAAACAAGUCUUUGCCUUGAGAGUUUCUACUUUCUAUGUUCAACUACUGUUUUUGUAUUCAGAAGGAGAAUUAUAAUCUGCAUGCAUUCUAAAGAAGAUAAGUGAAAGUCUUUUUGUUUUUUUAAUUUCCUGGCCUUCUGAUCGUUGCAGUGCAAAGUUUAUUAUAUCUUCUUCAGUUUUCUUCGAACUCAAAAAAAAAAAAAACUUCACCGACUUUGUCAGUGUCUGUAAUACAUUUUGGCUGGAUCAAAAUAGAAGCUCUGUCCGGACUCCUCAAAGUUCAUGUAUAUUUCCUUUGGUAUGUAAAUGUUCAUCCUCUUCUUCUGUGGUUUAUUUGUCUUGGCUUUACAUUUGAGUUUAGAUAUUUGAAAGUUUAGAUGCAUUGACACGUAUUUUCUAUUGUCAAAUUAAGUUAUUCUUUUCAUCUUAGAUUGACAGAUAUUUGUUGUUUCUUAAUUCCCUUUGCUAGUGGGCUUCUGGUUAUUGCAGUACAAACUUGAUUUCUACUUGAGUUUUCUUCGAUCACUUAUGAAAAGCUUGGCCUUGGCUCGUGAAACUUCAUCUUUCCUUGUUAAACUACACCCAUGGCAUUUGUGUGAAGCAGAGAGCUAGAAACUUUGUGUGUCUCUUACCCUUUCACAUUCAAGUGGUGAGAAUAGAGAGUGCAAAGUUUAUUUCUACUCCAGUUUUUUCUGAACUUAAAAAGAUAAAAAACGAACUUCACCGACUUUGUGAGAUUGCGUGGAUCAAAAUAGAAGCUGCUCUGUCUUGCUCCUGAAACUUCAUCUAUAGCUUUCCUUGCAUUCUCAAUUUUCAAGUUGGUUGAUCGACAAUUGUUCUAUUGUGAUUCACAUAUUU